GAUGAAGAACGCAGCGAAAUGCGAUAAGUAAUGUGAAUUGCAGAAUUCAGUGAAUCAUCGAAUCUUUGAACGCACAUUGCGCCCGCUGGAACUCCGGCGGGCACGCCUGUCCGAGCGUCAUUUCAACCCUCAGGCCCCCCUUCGCGGGCGGGCCUGGUGUUGGGGCCCGGCCGCUACCCUGCGGCCGUCCCCUAAAUUCAGUGGCGGCCUCGCCGUGAUCCCUUGCGUAGUAAUGCACCUCGCACCGGAGAGCGCCGUGGCCACGCCGUAAAACCCCCAAUUUUCAAUGGUUGACCUCGGAUCAGGUGGGAAUACCCGCUGAACUUAAGCAUAUCAAUAAGCGGAGGA
Molecule: unclassified non-coding RNA, 348 nt
Filed under: soil metagenome
Description: partial contains 5.8S ribosomal RNA, internal transcribed spacer 2, and large subunit ribosomal RNA
Rfam family: 5.8S ribosomal RNA (bases 1-120)
Source: RNAcentral